Molecule: ribosomal RNA, 510 nt
Filed under: uncultured bacterium
Lineage: Bacteria
Description: partial 16S ribosomal RNA
Rfam family: Bacterial small subunit ribosomal RNA
Source: RNAcentral
AUUGAACGCUGGCGGCAUGCCUAACACAUGCAAGUCGAACGGCAGCACGGUUAAGUACUUGUACUUAAUGGGUGGCGAGUGGCGAACGGGUGAGUAAUGCGCAGGAAUAUGCCUUAAAGAGGGGGAUAACUUGGGGAAACUCAAGCUAAUACCGCAUAAGCUCUGAGGAGUAAAGCUGGGGACCUUCGGGCUUGGCGCUUUAAGAAUAGCCUGCGUCCGAUUAGCUAGUUGGUAGGGUAAGGGCCUACCAAGGCGACGAUCGGUAGCUGGUCCGAGAGGAUGAACAGCCACACUGGGACUGAGACACGGCCCAGACUCCUACGGGAGGCAGCAGUGGGGAAUAUUGGACAAUGGGGGCAACCCUGAUCCAGCAAUGCCGCGUGUGUGAAGAAGGCCUGAGGGUUGUAAAGCACUUUCAGUGGGGAGGAGGAUUGAUUGGUUAAGAGCUGAUUAAUUGGACGUUACCUACAGAAGAAGCACCGGCUAACUCCGUGCCAGCCGGCGCCGUAA